CCUACGGGGGGCAGCAGUCGAGAAUCAUUCACAAUGGGGGAAACCCUGAUGGUGCGACGCCGCGUGGGGGAAUGAAGGUCUUCGGAUUGUAAACCCCUGUCAUGUGGGAGCAAAUUAAAAAGAUAGUACCACAAGAGGAAGAGACGGCUAACUCUGUGCCAGCAGCCGCGGUAAUACAGAGGUCUCAAGCGUUGUUCGGAAUCACUGGGCGUAAGGCGUGCGUAGGCUGUUUCGUAAGUCGUGUGUGAAAGGCGCGGGCUCAACCCGCGGACGGCACAUGAUACUGCGAGACUAGAGUAAUGGAGGGGGAACCGGAAUGCUCGGUGUAGCAGUGAAAUGCGUAGAUAUCGAGAGGAACACUCGUGGCGAAGGCGGGUUCCUGGACAUUAACUGACGCUGAGGCACGAAGGCCAGGGGAGCGAAAGGGAUUAGAUACCCUUGUAGUC
This 446-nucleotide ribosomal RNA is filed under the name uncultured bacterium. RNAcentral's name for it is "partial 16S ribosomal RNA". It matches the Rfam family "Bacterial small subunit ribosomal RNA", at positions 338 to 795 of the family's 1533-position model. The record is from RNAcentral.